CGCACUUUCUAAGUAUAAGCAAUUAUACAGCGAAACUGCGAAUGGCUCAUUAUAUAAGUUAUCGUUUAUUUGAUAGUACCUUACUACUUGGAUAACCGUGGUAAUUCUAGAGCUAAUACAUGCUAAAAACCCCGACUUCGGAAGGGGUGUAUUUAUUAGAUUAAAAACCAAUGCCCUUCGGGGCUCACUGGUGAUUCAUAAUAACUUCUCGAAUCGCAUGGCCUUGCGCCGGCGAUGGUUCAUUCAAAUUUCUUCCCUAUCAACUUUCGAUGCUAGAGUAGUGUUCUAGCAUGGUUACAACGGGUAACGGAAGGUUAGGGCUCGACCCCGGAGAAGGAGCCUGAGAAACGGCUACUACAUCCAAGGAAGCAGCAGGCCGCGCAAAUUACCCAAUCCCGACACGGGGAGGUAGUGACAAUAAAUACUGAUACAGGGCUCUUUUGGGUCUUGUAAUUGGAAUGAGUACAAUUUAAAUCCCCUAACGAAGAAACAAUUGGA
RNAcentral lists this ribosomal RNA (498 nucleotides) under Colletotrichum graminicola. RNAcentral's name for it is "SSU rRNA". It matches the Rfam family "Eukaryotic small subunit ribosomal RNA", at positions 52 to 552 of the family's 1831-position model. Lineage: Eukaryota; Fungi; Ascomycota; Sordariomycetes; Glomerellales; Glomerellaceae. The record is from RNAcentral.